This 125-nucleotide ribosomal RNA is filed under the name Bursaphelenchus gillanii. RNAcentral's name for it is "partial 18S ribosomal RNA". The record is from RNAcentral. Lineage: Eukaryota; Metazoa; Nematoda; Chromadorea; Rhabditida; Aphelenchoididae.
CGUACCAAGGUAGCUGUAGCCCUUAGAACAGCGAGUGAACGUGUAACGGGGUAGCUAUAGGCCUUAGUAACGGCGAGUGAAACUGUAACCACAGGGCUCGUAGUGAACUUUGGGCUGGAUCAUUA